Molecule: transfer RNA, 86 nt
Filed under: Candidatus Woesebacteria bacterium
Lineage: Bacteria; Candidatus Woeseibacteriota
Description: tRNA-Ser
Rfam family: tRNA
About the family: Transfer RNA (tRNA) molecules are approximately 80 nucleotides in length. Their secondary structure includes four short double-helical elements and three loops (D, anti-codon, and T loops).
Source: RNAcentral
GGAGGAGUGGCCCAGCGGCUACGGCGUGCGCUUGGAAAGCGCAUGGGAGCAAUCCCUCGCAGGUUCGAGUCCUGUCUCCUCCGCCA